AUGCAUGUCUAAGUACAAGCCUCACUAAGGUGAAACCGCGAAUGGCUCAUUAAAUCACACCUAAUCUACUGGAUAGUUAACAGUUACUUGGAUAACUGCGGUAAUUCUGGAGCUAAUACAUGCACAAAGCCCCGAACUUACGUGAGGGGCGCUUUUAUUAGAUCAAAACCAAACGGCUUCGGCUGUUCUCUUGGUGACUCUGAAUAACUUUGGGCUGAUCGCAUAGCCUAGCGCUGGCGACAUAUCCUUCGAAGGUGUGCCCUAUCAACUGUCGACUGUGGCAUAGACGCCCACAGUGGUUUUGACGGGUAACGGGGAAUCAGGGUUCGAUUCCGGAGAGGGAGCCUUAGAAACGGCUACCACA
Molecule: ribosomal RNA, 364 nt
Filed under: Paraeuchaeta media
Lineage: Eukaryota; Metazoa; Arthropoda; Copepoda; Calanoida; Euchaetidae
Also listed under: 5 other names
Description: SSU rRNA
Rfam family: Eukaryotic small subunit ribosomal RNA
Source: RNAcentral